GCGGGCAUGGUCUAGUGGCUAUGACGCCUGCCUAACACGCAGGAGAUCCCGAGUUCGAUCCUCGGUGCCCGUAUU
Molecule: transfer RNA, 75 nt
Filed under: Plasmodium yoelii yoelii
Lineage: Eukaryota; Apicomplexa; Aconoidasida; Haemosporida; Plasmodiidae
Description: tRNA-Val
Source: RNAcentral